UCGCACGAGAACGUUCUGGCUUUGCCAGGACAAGUACAGUGGCGGACGGGUGCGUAUCGCGUAGAUAACCUGCCCUCAGGCGCGGGACAAUCACGGGAAACCGUGGCUAAUACCGCACGUCGUCUGGACCCCGCAUGGGGACCAGAUGAAAGCCUUCGGGCGCCUUUGGAUGGGUCUGCGUUGGAUUAGCUUGUUGGUGAAGUAACGGCUCACCAAGGCAACGAUCCAUAGCUGGUCUGAGAGGACGAUCAGCCACACUGGGACUGAGACACGGCCCAGACUCCUACGGGAGGCAGCAGUGGGGAAUCUUGCACAAUGGGGUCACCCCUGAUGCAGCCAUGCCGCGUGGAGGAAGACACCCCUAUGGGGCGUAAACUCCUUUUCUGAAUGAAGAAACCCCUGUAGCUUCAGGGCGCGACGGUAGUUCAGGAAUAAGCACCGGCUAACUCCGUGCCAGCAGCCGCGGUAAUACGGAGGGUGCAAGCGUUGUCCGGAAUCACUGGGUGUAAAGGGUGUGCAGGCGGGGCAGCAAGUCGGAUGUGGAACCCCAUGGCUUAACCAUGGAGGUGCAUUCGAAACUGUUGCUCUUGAGUCCCGGAGAGGCUGUCGGAAUUCGUGGUGUAGCGGUGAAAUGCGUAGAUAUCACGAGGAAUACCAGAGGCGAAAGCGGACAGCUGGACGGGUACUGACGCUCAGGCACGAAAGCGUGGGGAGCAAACAGGAUUAGAUACCC
Molecule: ribosomal RNA, 733 nt
Filed under: uncultured bacterium
Lineage: Bacteria
Description: bacterial SSU rRNA
Rfam family: Bacterial small subunit ribosomal RNA
Source: RNAcentral